Mastomys coucha (southern multimammate mouse) is the source of this 282-nucleotide long non-coding RNA. RefSeq lists it as uncharacterized. The record is from RefSeq and is a predicted model, not a curated record. Lineage: Eukaryota; Metazoa; Chordata; Mammalia; Rodentia; Muridae. The transcript has 2 exons.
AGAGUUCUCCCUUGUCACCAGCACAGAUCUUUCCUGUCAAAGCUCAGGCGUAUCUUAUUAACAAGGAGAUAUGGAAAAAUGGUCACAUUUGUGGUUCACUACACCACACCUCGCAAGCUGUGUUGCUGAUCAUAUUACUGAGUAUUUAUGGACGAAACCCAAGCCAGUUCCCAGAGAUGGGCUAACAGCUGGUCAGAAAUGUCAAGCUGCACUGUGCCCUUGAGUCUCCGUGGAGAGAGCAGCAUUCCAAAGCACAGCAUGAAAAAUCCAGAGUUGCUAAAA